This 1527-nucleotide ribosomal RNA is filed under the name metagenome. RNAcentral describes it as "bacterial SSU rRNA". It matches the Rfam family "Bacterial small subunit ribosomal RNA". The record is from RNAcentral.
AGAGUUUGAUCCUGGCUCAGGAUGAACGCUGGCGGCGUGCCUAAUACAUGCAAGUCGAACGAGUUCUGAUUAUUGAAAGGUGCUUGCAUCUUGAUUUAAUUUUGAACGAGUGGCGGACGGGUGAGUAACACGUGGGUAACCUGCCCUUAAGUGGGGGAUAACAUUUGGAAACAGAUGCUAAUACCGCAUAAAUCCAAGAACCGCAUGGUUCUUGGCUGAAAGAUGGCGUAAGCUAUCGCUUUUGGAUGGACCCGCGGCGUAUUAGCUAGUUGGUGAGGUAACGGCUCACCAAGGCAAUGAUACGUAGCCGAACUGAGAGGUUGAUCGGCCACAUUGGGACUGAGACACGGCCCAAACUCCUACGGGAGGCAGCAGUAGGGAAUCUUCCACAAUGGACGCAAGUCUGAUGGAGCAACGCCGCGUGAGUGAAGAAGGCUUUCGGGUCGUAAAACUCUGUUGUUGGAGAAGAAUGGUCGGCAGAGUAACUGUUGUCGGCGUGACGGUAUCCAACCAGAAAGCCACGGCUAACUACGUGCCAGCAGCCGCGGUAAUACGUAGGUGGCAAGCGUUAUCCGGAUUUAUUGGGCGUAAAGCGAGCGCAGGCGGUUUUUUAAGUCUGAUGUGAAAGCCCUCGGCUUAACCGAGGAAGUGCAUCGGAAACUGGGAAACUUGAGUGCAGAAGAGGACAGUGGAACUCCAUGUGUAGCGGUGAAAUGCGUAGAUAUAUGGAAGAACACCAGUGGCGAAGGCGGCUGUCUGGUCUGUAACUGACGCUGAGGCUCGAAAGCAUGGGUAGCGAACAGGAUUAGAUACCCUGGUAUUCCAUGCCGUAAACGAUGAAUGCUAGGUGUUGGAGGGUUUCCGCCCUUCAGUGCCGCAGCUAACGCGUUAAGCAUUCCGCCUGGGGAGUACGACCGCAAGGUUGAAACUCAAAGGAAUUGACGGGGGCCCGCACAAGCGGUGGAGCAUGUGGUUUAAUUCGAAGCAACGCGAAGAACCUUACCAGGUCUUGACAUCUUUUGAUCACCUGAGAGAUCAGGUUUCCCCUUCGGGGGCAAAAUGACAGGUGGUGCAUGGUUGUCGUCAGCUCGUGUCGUGAGAUGUUGGGUUAAGUCCCGCAACGAGCGCAACCCUUAUGACUAGUUGCCAGCAUUUAGUUGGGCACUCUAGUAAGACUGCCGGUGACAAACCGGAGGAAGGUGGGGAUGACGUCAAAUCAUCAUGCCCCUUAUGACCUGGGCUACACACGUGCUACAAUGGAUGGUACAACGAGUUGCGAGACCGCGAGGUCAAGCUAAUCUCUUAAAGCCAUUCUCAGUUCGGACUGUAGGCUGCAACUCGCCUACACGAAGUCGGAAUCGCUAGUAAUCGCGGAUCAGCACGCCGCGGUGAAUACGUUCCCGGGCCUUGUACACACCGCCCGUCACACCAUGAGAGUUUGUAACACCCGAAGCCGGUGGCGUAACCCUUUUAGGGAGCGAGCCGUCUAAGGUGGGAAAAUGAUUAGGGUGAAGUCGAAACAAGGUA